CAAAGGGAGCGAUUCCGGCAACGGAUGGGCAUGCGUGACAUUAGCUAGUUGGCGGGGCAACGGCCCACCAAGGCGACGAUGUCUAGGGGUUCUGAGAGGAAGGUCCCCCACACUGGUACUGAGACACGGACCAGACUCCUACGGGAGGCAGCAGUGAGGAAUAUUGGUCAAUGGGCGCGAGCCUGAACCAGCCAAGUCGCGUGAGGGAUGACGGCCCUACGGGUUGUAAACCUCUUUUGUCGGGGAGCAAAUUCCGCCACGUGUGGCGGAGUCGAGAGUACCCGAAGAAAAAGCAUCGGCUAACUCCGUGCCAGCAGCCGCGGUAAUACGGAGGAUGCGAGCGUUAUCCGGAUUUAUUGGGUUUAAAGGGUGCGUAGGCGGACUGUCAAGUCAGCGGUAAAAUACGGGGGCUCAACCUCCGCCCGCCGUUGAAACUGACGGUCUUGAGUGGGCGAGAAGUAUACGGAAUGCGUGGUGUAGCGGUGAAAUGCAUAGAUAUCACGCAGAACUCCGAUUGCGAAGGCAGCAUACCGGCGCCCAACUGACGCUGAAGCACGAAAGCGUGGGUAUCGAACAGGAUUAGAUACCCUGGUAGUCCACGCAGUAAACGAUGAAUACUAGCUGUCCGGGGCGAAUGAGCCCUGG
RNAcentral lists this ribosomal RNA (645 nucleotides) under uncultured bacterium. RNAcentral describes it as "bacterial SSU rRNA". It matches the Rfam family "Bacterial small subunit ribosomal RNA", at positions 201 to 842 of the family's 1533-position model. The record is from RNAcentral.